Molecule: ribosomal RNA, 380 nt
Filed under: uncultured eukaryote
Lineage: Eukaryota
Description: partial 18S ribosomal RNA
Rfam family: Eukaryotic small subunit ribosomal RNA
Source: RNAcentral
CAAUAGCGUAUAUUAAAGUUGUUGCAGUUAAAAAGCUCGUAGUUGGAUUUGUAGCGUACGGUGUGUUCCGGGCACUUGUUGUCUGAGUAACCUGCUGUUGCCAUCCUUGGGUGGAACCUGUGUGGCAUUAGGUUGUCGUGCAGGGGAUGCCCAUCAUUUACUGUGAAAAAAUUAGAGUGUUCAAAGCAGGCUUAUGCCGUUGAAUAUAUUAGCAUGGAAUAAUGAGAUAGGACUUUUUUGCUAUUUUGUUGGUUUGCGCAAAGAGGUAAUGAUUAAUAGGGACAGUUGGGGGUAUUCGUAUUCCAUUGUCAGAGGUGAAAUUCUUGGAUUUUUGGAAGACGAACUACUGCGAAAGCAUUUACCAAGGAUGUUUUCAUUAA